AAAAAAUAGAGUAAAUAAAAAUUUAUUAUGGUUUAAAAAUUUUAUUUAAAAUUUAUUUUACAUAUAAAUUUUAGUGUUAAUUUUUUAUUAUUUUAAUAAUAAUAAGUUUUUAUUUAUAGUAAUUAAUAUUAAAAAUUUAAGAAAUUAAGAUUUAGUAAUAUUUUAAUUUAUAACAAAUUUUGUGCCAGCAGUUGCGGUUAAACAAAAAUUAAAUUAAAAUUUAUUAGUAAUUAAUAAAUAAUAUUAUUUAAAUUAAUUAAAUAUUAAAUUAUUAAGUGAAAUUUUAAUUUAAUUAAAAUUAAUUUAUAAAUUAUAAUUUAAUAAAUUUUAUUUAUAAACUAGGAUUAGAUACCCUAUUAUUAAAAAUUUAAAUUAAUUAUACUAAAAUAGUAUAUAAUUAUUUAUUGAAACUUAAAUAAUUUGGCGGUAUUUUAGUUCAUUUAGAGGAAUCUGUUUAAUAAUUGAUAAUCCACGAAUAAAUUUACUUAAUUUAAUAUUUUGUAUAUCGUUGUUAAAAAAAUAUUUUUAAAUAAUAUUAAUAUUUUAAAAUUAUAAUAAAAAUUAAAUCAGAUCAAGAUGCAGAUUAUAAUUAAGAAUAUAAUGGAUUACAAUAAAUUUAUUUAUACUAAUGUUAAAUUGAAAAAUUUAAUUAAGGGUGGAUUUAAAUGUAAUUUUAUUUAGUUUAUUAAAAUGAUUAAAAAUUAAGAUAUGUACAUAUUGCCCGUCGCUUUCAUAAAUAAAUUGAAAUAAGUCGUAACAAAGUAGAGGUACUGGAAAGUGUUUCUAGAAAUAU
This 793-nucleotide non-coding RNA is filed under the name Conogethes punctiferalis (yellow peach moth). Lineage: Eukaryota; Metazoa; Arthropoda; Insecta; Lepidoptera; Crambidae. The record is from RNAcentral.